Molecule: non-coding RNA, 74 nt
Organism: Salmo salar (Atlantic salmon)
Lineage: Eukaryota; Metazoa; Chordata; Actinopteri; Salmoniformes; Salmonidae
Source: Rfam
GGCCGAUUAGCACAGUUGGUUAGAGCGUGGUGCUAAUAACGCCAAGGUCGUGGGUUCGAUCCCCAUACUGGCCA